This 1244-nucleotide ribosomal RNA is filed under the name Phytoplasma sp. Its description in RNAcentral is "bacterial SSU rRNA". It matches the Rfam family "Bacterial small subunit ribosomal RNA", at positions 153 to 1399 of the family's 1533-position model. The record is from RNAcentral. Lineage: Bacteria; Bacillati; Mycoplasmatota; Mollicutes; Acholeplasmatales; Acholeplasmataceae.
GAAACGACUGCUAAGACUGGAUAGGAGAUAAGAAGGCAUCUUCUUAUUUUUAAAAGACCUAGCAAUAGGUAUGCUUAGGGAAGAGCUUGCGUCACAUUAGUUAGUUGGUGGGGUAAUGGCCUACCAAGACGAUGAUGUGUAGCCGGGCUGAGAGGUCGAACGGCCACAUUGGGACUGAGACACGGCCCAAACUCCUACGGGAGGCAGCAGUAAGGAAUUUUCGGCAAUGGAGGAAACUCUGACCGAGCAAUGCCGCGUGAACGAUGAAGUAUUUUGGUACGUAAAGUUCUUUUAUUAGGGAAGAAAAGGUGGUGGAAAAACCAUUAUGACGGUACCUAAUGAAUAAGCCCCGGCUAACUAUGUGCCAGCAGCCGCGGUAAUACAUAGGGGGCAAGCGUUAUCCGGAAUUAUUGGGCGUAAAGGGUGCGUAGGCGGUUAAAUAAGUUUAUGGUCUAAGUGCAACGCUCAACGUUGUGAUGCUAUAAAAACUGUUUAGCUAGAGUUGGAUAGAGGCAAGUGGAAUUCCGUGUGUAGUGGUAAAAUGCGUAAAUAUACGGAGGAACACCAGAAGCGAAGGCGGCUUGCUGGGUCUUAACUGACGCUGAGGCACGAAAGCGUGGGGAGCAAACAGGAUUAGAUACCCUGGUAGUCCACGCCCUAAACGAUGAGUACUAAACGUUGGAUAAAACCAGUGUUGAAGUUAACACAUUAAGUACUCCGCCUGAGUAGUACGUACGCAAGUAUGAAACUUAAAGGAAUUGACGGGACUCCGCACAAGCGGUGGAUCAUGUUGUUUAAUUCGAAGGUACCCGAAAAACCUCACCAGGUCUUGACAUGCUUUUGCAAAGCUGUAGAAAUACAGUGGAGGUUAUCAGAAGCACAGGUGGUGCAUGGUUGUCGUCAGCUCGUGUCGUGAGAUGUUGGGUUAAGUCCCGCAACGAGCGCAACCCUUGUUGUUAAUUGCCAUCAUUAAGUUGGGGACUUUAGCAAGACUGCCAAUGAUAAAUUGGAGGAAGGUGGGGACGACGUCAAAUCAUCAUGCCCCUUAUGACCUGGGCUACAAACGUGAUACAAUGGCUGUUACAAAGGGUAGCUAAAGCGUAAGCUUCUGGCGAAUCUCAAAAAAGCAGUCUCAGUUCGGAUUGAAGUCUGCAACUCGACUUCAUGAAGUUGGAAUCGCUAGUAAUCGCGAAUCAGCAUGUCGCGGUGAAUACGUUCUCGGGGUUUGUACACCCCGCCCGUCA